Molecule: long non-coding RNA, 712 nt
Filed under: Gossypium raimondii (Peruvian cotton)
Lineage: Eukaryota; Viridiplantae; Streptophyta; Magnoliopsida; Malvales; Malvaceae
Description: long non-coding RNA (GRAI_LNC010502)
Source: RNAcentral
GCGAUAGCGACGAAUGGUGGUAACGGCGAAAAUGGUGGCAGACGGUAGAUGGCGUGGUUUUGGUUGAUUUUUUUGAAGGGUGACGACGGGAUUUGAGGUGUGAUGCAGUUAAGGUAGUGGGAAAGGUGGUUUAGGUGUUUGGUGAUAGAGAAAAAGAAGAAAUAGAUAAUAUGGUCUUUGGAGGAGGGAGAAGCGGUGCCGUGAGAAUGAAGGUUUCAAUCGACAAGAGUGCGGUACGUGGGUGAGGAAGGCCGUCGAGUGGGUUGAGGUGUCGGACGGCAAAUAGAGAAAAAGAGAACGAUGGUGCUUCACGAAGUGGCGUUAAAUGAUGGUGGUAGCGGUAGUGGUGAUACAAUGGUGACUCACGAGGUCCGUGCUCGACGGAGAUGGCAAAUUGUGAUGGUGGUAGCGACGCUCAACGGUGGCGGUAGCGUGGUUUUGUGUUGGGUUAGGGUUUUUUUUGUUUUGAAGAAGAUCGAUAAGAUAAAGAAAAAAUGGUUUGAGGAUUUAGGGAUUUGGGUGGUUUAAUUUUUUUCUUUUUUUCCUCUUUUUUUCCUAUGUGGCCGGUUGGGCCAUCUUGCCCAUUUCUCUUUUUUUUCUUUUGGGCCAGCUAGGCUGUUCGACCCAAUUUUUUUCUCCUCUUGGGUUUGUUUGUUUGGGAUUGUAAGGGUUUUGGGUAUUGGAUUUAUUAUGUGGGUAAUUUGGUAUUUGG